CUAAGAAUCUUCCGCAAUGGGGGAAACCCUGACGGAGCGACGCCGCGUGGACGAUGAAGGCCGUAAGGUUGUAAAGUCCUUUUGCAGGAGAAGAAUAAGGGAGGGAGUGGAAAGCCCUUCUGAUGACGUUAUCCUGCGAAUAAGCCCCGGCCAAUUACGUGCCAGCAGCCGCGGUAAUACGUAUGGGGCAAGCGUUGUUCGGAGUUAUUGGGCGUAAAGGGCGUGUAGGCGGCCCGACAAGUCUGGUGUGAAAUCGCAGGGCUCAACCCUGCGGGUGCGCUGGAAACUGUCGGGCUGGAGUCCCGGGGGGGAAGCUGGAAUUCCUGGUGUAGGAGUGAAAUCUGUAGAGAUCAGGAAGAACACCGGUGGCGAAGGCGAGCUUCUAUUCGAGGACUGACGCUGAGGCGCGAAAGCGUGGGGAGCAAACAGG
Molecule: ribosomal RNA, 430 nt
Filed under: uncultured Spirochaeta sp.
Lineage: Bacteria; Pseudomonadati; Spirochaetota; Spirochaetia; Spirochaetales; Spirochaetaceae
Description: bacterial SSU rRNA
Rfam family: Bacterial small subunit ribosomal RNA
Source: RNAcentral